RNAcentral lists this transfer RNA (87 nucleotides) under Rhizobiaceae bacterium MnEN-MB40S. RNAcentral's name for it is "tRNA-Leu". It matches the Rfam family "tRNA". From Rfam's summary of the family: Transfer RNA (tRNA) molecules are approximately 80 nucleotides in length. Their secondary structure includes four short double-helical elements and three loops (D, anti-codon, and T loops). The record is from RNAcentral. RNAcentral also lists the same sequence under 1 other name. Lineage: Bacteria; Pseudomonadati; Pseudomonadota; Alphaproteobacteria; Hyphomicrobiales; Rhizobiaceae.
GCCCAGAUGGCGGAAUUGGUAGACGCGCCAGCUUCAGGUGCUGGUGACCGCACGGUCGUGGAGGUUCGAGUCCUCUUCUGGGCACCA